GGAAUUAAAAGCGGCGGCUGUUUUUUUGUAAGAUAGUCAUAUAGCAGAGGAACCCGGUGCGAUCCCGGGGCUGCCCCGCAACGGUAAUGCCGCAAGGCUAGCCCGGUCUACUGCGAACCGUUUAAUCGC
This 129-nucleotide non-coding RNA is filed under the name Elusimicrobiota bacterium. The record is from RNAcentral. Lineage: Bacteria; Pseudomonadati; Elusimicrobiota.